Molecule: ribosomal RNA, 468 nt
Filed under: uncultured bacterium
Lineage: Bacteria
Description: partial 16S ribosomal RNA
Rfam family: Bacterial small subunit ribosomal RNA
Source: RNAcentral
GACGAACGCUGGCGGCGUGCUUAACACAUGCGAGUCGAACGGAAAGGCCCUGCUUUUGUGGGGUGCUCGAGUGGCGAACGGGUGAGUAACACGUGAGUAACCUGCCCUUGACUUUGGGAUAACUUCAGGAAACUGGGGCUAAUACCGGAUAGGAGCUCCUGCUGCAUGGUGGGGGUUGGAAAGUUUCGGCGGUUGGGGAUGGACUCGCGGCUUAUCAGCUUGUUGGUGGGGUAGUGGCUUACCAAGGCUUUGACGGGUAGCCGGCCUGAGAGGGUGACCGGCCACAUUGGGACUGAGAUACGGCCCAGACUCCUACGGGGGGCAGGAGUGGGGAAUAGUGCACAAUGGGCGGAAGCCUGAUGCAGCAACGCCGCGUGCGGGAUGACGGUCUUCGGGGUGUAAACCGCUUUCGCCUGUGACGAAGCGUGAGUGACGGUAAUGGGUAAAGAAGCACCGGCUAACUACGUG